GAUGAACGCUGGCGGCGUGCUUAACACAUGCAAGUCGAACGGAAAGGCUCCUGCUUGCAGGGGUACUCGAGUGGCGAACGGGUGAGUAACACGUGGGUGAUCUGCCCUGCACUUCGGGAUAAGCCUGGGAAACUGGGUCUAAUACCGGAUAGGACGAUGGUUUGGAUGCCAUUGUGGAAAGUUUUUCGGUGUGGGAUGAGCUCGCGGCCUAUCAGCUUGUUGGUGGGGUAAUGGCCUACCAAGGCGUCGACGGGUAGCCGGCCUGAGAGGGUGUACGGCCACAUUGGGACUGAGAUACGGCCCAGACUCCUACGGGAGGCAGCAGUGGGGAAUAUUGCACAAUGGGCGCAAGCCUGAGGCAGCGACGCCGCGUGGGGGAUGACGGCCUUCGGGUUGUAAACUCCUUUCGCUAGGGACGAAGCGCAAGUGACGGUACCUGGAGAAGAAGCACCGGCUAACUACGUG
RNAcentral lists this ribosomal RNA (465 nucleotides) under uncultured bacterium. RNAcentral describes it as "partial 16S ribosomal RNA". It matches the Rfam family "Bacterial small subunit ribosomal RNA", at positions 28 to 507 of the family's 1533-position model. The record is from RNAcentral.